GAUGAACGCUGGCGGCGUGCCUAAUACAUGCAAGUCGAGCGAACGGACGAGAAGCUUGCUUCUCUGAUGUUAGCGGCGGACGGGUGAGUAACACGUGGAUAACCUACCUAUAAGACUGGGAUAACUUCGGGAAACCGGAGCUAAUACCGGAUAAUAUUUUGAACCGCAUGGUUCAAAAGUGAAAGACGGUCUUGCUGUCACUUAUAGAUGGAUCCGCGCUGCAUUAGCUAGUUGGUAAGGUAACGGCUUACCAAGGCAACGAUGCAUAGCCGACCUGAGAGGGGGACCGACCCCCCUGAGGCGGGGACACGGUCCGGACUCCAACGGGGGGCAGAGGUGGAGAAUCUUCCCAAAUUGAGGAAAGCCUGAGGGGACAACGCCCCGGGAGUGAAGAAGGUCUUCGGAUGGAAAAAUUCUGUUAUUAGGAAAAAAAAUUGGUGUAAGUAACUUGCAAAUUAUGGGGGGUACCAAAUCGAGAAGCCCCGGCUAACUCCU
This 495-nucleotide ribosomal RNA is filed under the name uncultured bacterium. RNAcentral's name for it is "partial 16S ribosomal RNA". It matches the Rfam family "Bacterial small subunit ribosomal RNA", at positions 28 to 505 of the family's 1533-position model. The record is from RNAcentral.